GGGCAACGCUGCGCUUCCUGCAGUCGACGAUGACCUCACUUGUGGGGGGAUUAGUGGCGAACGGGUGAGUAACACGUGAGUAACCUGCCCUUGACUCUGGGAUAAGCCUGGGAAACCGGGUCUAAUACUGGAUACGACCUUCUGGCGCAUGCCAUGUUGGUGGAAAGCUUUUGUGGUUUUGGAUGGACUCGCGGCCUAUCAGCUUGUUGGUGGGGUAAUGGCCUACCAAGGCGACGACGGGUAGCCGGCCUGAGAGGGUGACCGGCCACACUGGGACUGAGACACGGCCCAGACUCCUACGGGAGGCAGCAGUGGGGAAUAUUGCACAAUGGGCGCAAGCCUGAUGCAGCGACGCCGCGUGAGGGAUGAAGGCCUUCGGGUUGUAAACCUCUUUCAGUAGGGAAGAAGCCGGUCUUUUGGGUUGGUGACGGUACCUGCAGAAGAAGCGCCGGCUAACUACGUGCCAGCAGCCGCGGUAAUACGUAGGGCGCAAGCGUUAUCCGGAAUUAUUGGGCGUAAAGAGCUCGUAGGCGGUUUGUCGCGUCUGCCGUGAAAGUCCGGGGCUUAACUCCGGAUCUGCGGUGGGUACGGGCAGACUAGAGUGCAGUAGGGGAGACUGGAAUUCCUGGUGUAGCGGUGAAAUGCGCAGAUAUCAGGAGGAACACCGAUGGCGAAGGCAGGUCUCUGGGCUGUAACUGACGCUGAGGAGCGAAAGCAUGGGGAGCGAACAGGAUUAGAUACCCUGGUAGUCCAUGCCGUAAACGUUGGGCACUAGGUGUGGGGGACAUUCCACGUUUUCC
This 800-nucleotide ribosomal RNA is filed under the name Arthrobacter sp. JSM 2215096. Its description in RNAcentral is "bacterial SSU rRNA". It matches the Rfam family "Bacterial small subunit ribosomal RNA", at positions 28 to 842 of the family's 1533-position model. Lineage: Bacteria; Bacillati; Actinomycetota; Actinomycetes; Micrococcales; Micrococcaceae. The record is from RNAcentral.